RNAcentral lists this small RNA (83 nucleotides) under Marmota monax (woodchuck). The record is from RNAcentral. Lineage: Eukaryota; Metazoa; Chordata; Mammalia; Rodentia; Sciuridae.
GCUGGGCAUGGUGAUGCAUGCCUGUAAUUCCAGCAGCUCAAGAGGCUGAGGCAGGAGAAUCAAGGGUUCAUACCCAGCCUCAG